UACGGGGGGGGCAAGCGUUGUUCGGAAUUACUGGGCGUAAAGGGCUCGUAGGCGGCCAACUAAGUCAGACGUGAAAUCCCUCGGCUUAACCGGGGAACUGCGUCCGAUACUGGUGGGCUUGAAUCCGGGAGAGGGAUGCGGAAUUCCAGGUGUAGCGGUGAAAUGCGUAGAUAUCUGGAGGAACACCGGUGGCGAAGGCGGCAUCCUGGACCGGCAUUGACGCUGAGGCGCGAAAGCCAGGGGAGCAAACGGG
RNAcentral lists this ribosomal RNA (253 nucleotides) under uncultured bacterium. RNAcentral's name for it is "partial 16S ribosomal RNA". It matches the Rfam family "Bacterial small subunit ribosomal RNA", at positions 524 to 776 of the family's 1533-position model. The record is from RNAcentral.